AGAGAAUUUUGUAGUCAAAGUAAACGCAGAUUCUAGUGUCUGACUACAAGCAGGCUGAGGGAACGUCUUCCGCUGAUUCGACCAAUCCGAUGCGAAAUGGGCGGAGCAGGAUCAUCCAGCCAAUCAGCGUUGACGGUUGGCGCAUGUCGCUGUUUGCCAGUAACUACUGUGGAGAGAGUAGAGAGCGGCGGAGAAGCAAAAUCGGAGAAGCAGUGAAAAUACGGAGUAAAAGCAACGUUUUGGUCGUCGCUUCGUCGCUUUGGUGUGUUGGCGCUCUGAGAAACGUUAUUACUGAAGACGUCUGGUUGAUGAAACAAGCUUUGGCGCUGGUUGCCCAACGCGAGUGAGGCAGGAAGGUUUCCUUGUUCAGCUGCUGGACAGCCUGGACAGAAACACCAGCUCUCACCUGACAAACCAAACAGGUGUCACCAAGUUCUUAGAGACCAGGACUGAGGCCUCCAGGUGUCUCCACUUCGUCCAUGACAUUGUCCAUGCAGACACAUGCAAAAGUCGGUAGUGAUGAAGUUCCCUGAUUUGACGGCAUUGCCCGCAAUCAGAGAUAUUGUGUGUGAUCACAGAGACUUUGUCCACGAUCAGAGAGUCUUCGUACAAUGAAGAAGUUCUUUGAGACCAGGACAGAGGCCUCCAGGAUUCAAACUUCAACCGUUAAAUCACCAAGCGAAGAGACAGAUGAGAGGACGUUUCCAAAAGGUCUUCAGCUGCUGUGCAUCUCCUCCUGCAGACACAAGAACACCUGUGAAUCUAAAUAUUUUUAUUCUGACAUUUUUGACGCCUUACUAUGACAUGCAGCGUUUCCAUAGACGCACACAUUGACCUGUCUACACUGUUUGUGGGUCACGCUAAAUUUUCAUUUUAGUAUUUUGCUCUUUCAAACACUGCAAUAUCAGUACUCAAAUCCGAUCUAUUACUGUGUACAUAGUCCCAUUUAUACCAUUCAUAUUGUUUCUAAUUAUUUUGACUUUUUUUUUUUUGUUUUUACAUUUGCAACACUGAAUUUCCCUGUUGUGUGACUGAUAAAGGAUUAUCUUACUCAAAUAAAUACUUUUAAAAACA
Molecule: long non-coding RNA, 1074 nt
Organism: Lates calcarifer (barramundi perch)
Lineage: Eukaryota; Metazoa; Chordata; Actinopteri; Centropomidae
Exons: 6
Source: RefSeq, a predicted model, not a curated record